RNAcentral lists this long non-coding RNA (218 nucleotides) under Ictidomys tridecemlineatus (thirteen-lined ground squirrel). RNAcentral's name for it is "lncRNA (ENSSTOG00000031700.1)". The record is from RNAcentral. Lineage: Eukaryota; Metazoa; Chordata; Mammalia; Rodentia; Sciuridae.
GGAAAUAAGGUAAGUUAAUCCUCCCAGCUCUGCUUAACUUCAAGACAAAGAAACUUGAAACUUUCCAACUGUGAAAACUUCUAGACCAUCCUCUUUAGAUUUCUGAAUGGGUUCCAGAAAGAAGGCUGUGAGCUUUUGUGGAAGUGGGGUUAAAUAUUGCAUAAGGAUAAAUGGCAUUUUACUGAAAGACUGAAACAGCAACAUAAAACUGUAACUUC